GACGAACGCUGGCGGCGUGCUUAACACAUGCAAGUCGAGCGGAAAGGCCCUGCUUUUGCGGGGUGCUCGAGUGGCGAACGGGUGAGUAACACGUGAGUAACCUGCCCUUGACUUUGGGAUAACUUCAGGAAACUGGGGCUAAUACCGGAUAGGAGCUCCUGCUGCAUGGUGGGGGUUGGAAAGUUUCGGCGGUUGGGGAUGGACUCGCGGCUUAUCAGCUUGUUGGUGGGGUAGUGGCUUACCAAGGCUUUGACGGGUAGCCGGCCUGAGAGGGUGACCGGCCACAUUGGGACUGAGAUACGGCCCAGACUCCUACGGGAGGCAGCAGUGGGGAAUAUUGCACAAUGGGCGGAAGCCUGAUGCAGCAACGCCGCGUGCGGGAUGACGGCCUUCGGGUUGUAAACCGCUUUCGCCUGUGACGAAGCGUGAGUGACGGUAAUGGGUAAAGAAGCACCGGCUAACUACGUG
This 468-nucleotide ribosomal RNA is filed under the name uncultured bacterium. RNAcentral's name for it is "partial 16S ribosomal RNA". It matches the Rfam family "Bacterial small subunit ribosomal RNA", at positions 28 to 507 of the family's 1533-position model. The record is from RNAcentral.